AGCGAACGCUGGCGGCAGGCUUAACACAUGCAAGUCGAGCGCCCCGCGAGGGGAGCGGCCGUCGGGAGAGUAACACGUGGGAACAUACCGUUUGGUGCGGAACAACUGAGGGAAACUUCAGCUAAUACCGGAGAAGCCCUUACGGGGAAAGCUUUAUCGCCGAAAGGUUGGCCCGCGGCUGAUUAGCUAGUUGGUGAGGUAACGGCCCACCAAGGCGACGAGCAGUAGCGGGUCUGAGAGGAUGCUCAGCCUCACUGGGACUGCGACACGGCCCAGACUCCCGCGGGAGGCAGCAGUGGGGCGUAUCGGACCCGGGGGGCAACCCUGAGCCAUCCGGUCCGCGUGAGUGAUGAAGGCCUUAGGGUUGUAAAGCUCUUUUGCGCGGGAAGAUAUUGCCGGUACCGGGAGGAUAAGCCCCGGCUACUUCGUG
RNAcentral lists this ribosomal RNA (430 nucleotides) under uncultured bacterium. RNAcentral describes it as "partial 16S ribosomal RNA". It matches the Rfam family "Bacterial small subunit ribosomal RNA", at positions 28 to 507 of the family's 1533-position model. The record is from RNAcentral.